AUUGAACGCUGGCGGCAGGCCUAACACAUGCAAGUCGAGCGGAUGAAGGGAGCUUGCUCCUGGAUUCAGCGGCGGACGGGUGAGUAAUGCCUAGGAAUCUGCCUGGUAGUGGGGGAUAACGUCCGGAAACGGGCGCUAAUACCGCAUACGUCCUGAGGGAGAAAGUGGGGGAUCUUCGGACCUCACGCUAUCGGAUGAGCCUAGGUCGGAUUAGCUAGUUGGUGGGGUAAAGGCCUACCAAGGCGACGAUCCGUAACUGGUCUGAGAGGAUGAUCAGUCACACUGGAACUGAGACACGGUCCAGACUCCUACGGGAGGCAGCAGUGGGGAAUAUUGGACAAUGGGCGAAAGCCUGAUCCAGCCAUGCCGCGUGUGUGAAGAAGGUCUUCGGAUUGUAAAGCACUUUAAGUUGGGAGGAAGGGCAGUAAGUUAAUACCUUGCUGUUUUGACGUUACCGACAGAAUAAGCACCGGCUAACUUCGUG
This 484-nucleotide ribosomal RNA is filed under the name uncultured bacterium. Its description in RNAcentral is "partial 16S ribosomal RNA". It matches the Rfam family "Bacterial small subunit ribosomal RNA", at positions 30 to 507 of the family's 1533-position model. The record is from RNAcentral.